Molecule: unclassified non-coding RNA, 562 nt
Filed under: Hevea brasiliensis (rubber tree)
Lineage: Eukaryota; Viridiplantae; Streptophyta; Magnoliopsida; Malpighiales; Euphorbiaceae
Source: RNAcentral
UGUAUUUUUCUUUCACAUAGAAGUUGAUCAACUUCUCAUAGUUAGGGUUGUCAAAUGUGGCUCUCAAAUUUCCAGGAGAGAAUAGUUUUCCUUCACCAACUUCUGUUGUCUCCUUGACAAGUUGCCAUUUUCCUUCGUCUAGAAGAAGGAACUCGUGGGUUCCAGGGUAGUCUUUAAGAGCAAGAACAUAUGUAGUUCUUGGACCAUAAACUCCCAUCGCUGCUGCAACCUGGUCUCUUCCUGUCACUCCUGUUAGUUUAUCUCCUGGCCACACUCCAAAGAUGGUGCCCACAGAGAAAUUUGUGUCUACAAUACUUGAGCCAUCAAGUGGAUCAAAAGCAACACUAAAUCCACCUUCAGCUGGGCCUCCCAUGUCUUGCAGUUCAGGAACUUCUUCAGAGCAACCAUAUUUGCAGAAGUGUGAGUAAGUCAAGGCCUCGAAAAGGAGCUUGUUUGCAAUCAUAUCAACAGCAAGCUGCUCAUCUCCAAAGGAAUUGUGCUGUUCCUCCACAAGAAGCUGUCCUGACCUUGAAUGCGAUGGUUCUCAAUGCCUCUCCCAUGC